This 396-nucleotide ribosomal RNA is filed under the name uncultured bacterium. RNAcentral's name for it is "bacterial SSU rRNA". It matches the Rfam family "Bacterial small subunit ribosomal RNA", at positions 361 to 774 of the family's 1533-position model. The record is from RNAcentral.
AUUUUCGGCAAUGGGCGAAAGCCUGACCGAGCAACGCCGCGUGAACGAAGAAGGUCUUCGGAUUGUAAACUCCUGUCCCAGGGGACGAUAAUGACGGUACCCUGGGAGGAAGCACCGGCUAACUACGUGCCAGCAGCCGCGGUAAAACGUAGGGUGCAAGCGUUGUCCGGAAUUACUGGGUGUAAAGGGAGCGCAGGCGGAUUGGCAAGUUGGGAGUGAAAUCUAUGGGCUCAACCCAUAAAUUGCUUUCAAAACUGUCAGUCUUGAGUGGUGUAGAGGUAGGCGGAAUUCCCGGUGUAGCGGUGGAAUGCGUAGAUAUCGGGAGGAACACCAGUGGCGAAGGCGGCCUACUGGGCACUAACUGACGCUGAGGCUCGAAAGCAUGGGUAGCAAACA